This 578-nucleotide ribosomal RNA is filed under the name uncultured archaeon. RNAcentral describes it as "bacterial SSU rRNA". It matches the Rfam family "Archaeal small subunit ribosomal RNA", at positions 98 to 676 of the family's 1478-position model. The record is from RNAcentral.
ACGUGGACAACCUACCCUUUGGUCUGGCAUAAUCCUGGGAAACUGGGGAUAAUUCCGGAUAGGUCACAGAUGCUGGAAUGCACUGUGGCUCAAAGCUCCGGCGCCAAAGGAUGGGUCUGCGGCCUAUCAGGGUUGUAGUGGGUGUAAUGUACCUACUAGCCUACGACGGGUACGGGUUGUGAGAGCAAGAGCCCGGAGAUGGAUUCUGAGACACGAAUCCAGGCCCUACGGGGUGCAGCAGGCGCGAAAACUUUACAAUGCGGGAAACCGUGAUAAGGGAAUCUCGAGUGCCAGCAUAUAAUGUUGGCUGUCUGGAUGCCUAAAAAGCAUCUGUUAGCAAGGGCCGGGCAAGACCGGUGCCAGCCGCCGCGGUAACACCGGCGGCCCGAGUGGUAACCGCUUUUAUUGGGUCUAAAGGGUCUGUAGCCGGCCAAGUAAGUCCCUUGGGAAAUCUGGCAGCUCAACUGUCAGGCUGCUAGGGGAUACUGUUUGGCUUGGGACCGGGAGAGGUGAGAGGUACCUUGGGGGUAGGGGUGAAAUCUUGUGAUCCUCGAGGGACCACCAGUGGCGAAGGCGUC